Molecule: ribosomal RNA, 499 nt
Filed under: uncultured fungus
Lineage: Eukaryota; Fungi
Description: eukaryotic LSU rRNA
Rfam family: 5.8S ribosomal RNA (bases 85-238)
Source: RNAcentral
UACAUAACUAUUUUUGGUUGUGCUAGUUUUAAACUAUAUUUUGUAUUACCAUUAGUCUAAUAUUUUUAAAAAAGUAAUUUAAACAACUUUUGACAACGGAUCUCUAGGCUCUUACAACGAUGAAGAACGCAGCGAAUUGCGAUAAGUAAUGUGAAUUGCAGAAUUCCGUGAAUCAUCAAAUCUUUGAACGCACAUUGCACCUUGAGGUAUUCCUCAAGGUAUGCCUGUUCGAGAAUCAGUAAAAUCAUCAAAGCUAGUAUUGCGAAAUGCUAGUUUUGGAGUUGGGAUUUGUUGGACGUUUGUCAGACAUUCCUUAAUAUUAACUGUUGCCUUGCACUCUACUUGUUGGUGUAAUAUGCAUGACCAUUGAGCUUCGGCUCUUCUGAUUGUACUUGCGCAUUAACAUGGCAGUUUGUUAGCGAACAUAUAAAAUUACACGAAGCCUUUUGGGGCUUUAAGACUUGAUCUCGAAUCAGACAAGACUACCCGCUGAACUUAA